AUUGAACGCUGGCGGCAUGCCUUACACAUGCAAGUCGAACGGUAACGGGCUCUCGGGUGCCGACGUGUGGCGGACGGGCGAAUGAUACAUCGGUACGUGCCCGCUUGCGGGGGAUAACGAGGUGACUACUUUGAUAAUAACGCAUUAGGUCUUCGGACCAGAGCAGGGGACCGCAAGGCCUCGCGCGGACGGACUGGCCGAUGGCAGAUUAGGUAGUUGGUGGGGUAAAGGCUUACCAAGGCGACGAUCAGUAGCUGGUCUGAGAGGAUGAUCAGCUACACUGGGACUGAGACACGGCCCAGACUCCUACGGGAGGCAGCAGUGGGGAAUUUUGGACAAUGGGCGCAAGCCUGAUCCAGCCAUGCCGCGUGCGUGAAGAAGGCCUUCGGGUUGUAAACUGCUUUUGUACGGAACGAAAAGGCUUCGUUUAAUACAGGGGGUUCAUGACGGUACCGGAAGAAUAAGCACCGGCUAACUACGUG
This 482-nucleotide ribosomal RNA is filed under the name uncultured bacterium. RNAcentral's name for it is "partial 16S ribosomal RNA". It matches the Rfam family "Bacterial small subunit ribosomal RNA", at positions 30 to 507 of the family's 1533-position model. The record is from RNAcentral.